RNAcentral lists this ribosomal RNA (1446 nucleotides) under metagenome. Its description in RNAcentral is "bacterial SSU rRNA". It matches the Rfam family "Bacterial small subunit ribosomal RNA". The record is from RNAcentral.
AGAGUUUGAUCCUGGCUCAGGGUGAACGCUGGCGGCGUGCCUAAGACAUGCAAGUCGAACGGGUUGGUAACAACACCGUGGCGGACGGGUGAGUAACGCGUGGGUGACGUGCCCUGGAGUUGGGGACAACCAAGCGAAAGUUUGAAUAAUCCCCGAUGGUGAUGCAGCUCCUGUGCUGUAUCUAAAGAUUUAUCGCUCCAGGAUCGGCCCGCGUCCUAUCAGGUAGUUGGUGGGGUAACGGCUCACCAAGCCAACGACAGGUAACUGGUCUGAGAGGACGACCAGUCACAGGAGCACUGAGACACGGGCUCCACUCCUACGGGAGGCAGCAGUUAGGAUUAUUCGUCAAUGGGGGAAACCCUGAACGAGCGACGCCGCUUGAAGGACGAAGCCUUUCGGGGUGUAAACUUCUGAACUCGGGACGAUAAUGACGGUACCGAGCUAAUAGCACCGGCUAACUCCGUGCCAGCAGCCGCGGUAAUACGGAGGGUGCGAGCGUUACCCGGAUUUACUGGGCGUAAAGGGCGUGUAGGCGGUUUGUUAAGUCCGAUGUGAAAGACCGGGGCUCAACCCCGGGAACGCGUUGGAUACUGACAGACUAGACGGCUGGAGGGGGUAGCGGAAUUUCCGGAGUAGCGGUGAAAUGCGCAGAUACCGGAAGGAACGCCAAUAGCGAAGGCAGCUACCUAGACAGCACGUGACGCUAAGGCGCGAAAGCAUGGGGAGCAAACCGGAUUAGAUACCCGGGUAGUCCAUGCCCUAAACGAUGAGUGCUGGGUGUCCGGCGUAUGCUGGGUGCCGAAGCUAACGCGUUAAGCACUCCGCCUGGGAAGUACGGUCGCAAGACUGAAACUCAAAGGAAUUGACGGGGCCCCGCACAAGCGGUGGAGCAUGUGGUUUAAUUCGAAAGAACGCGCAGAACCUUACCAGGCCUUGACAUCUGGGGAAUCCCGCUGAAAGGUGGGAGUGUCCGCAAGGAAGCCCCAAGACAGGUGCUGCAUGGCUGUCGUCAGCUCGUGUCGUGAGAUGUUGGGUUAAGUCCCGCAACGAGCGCAACCCCUGUAGUUAGUUGCCAGCAGUUCGGCUGGGCACUCUAGCUAGACUGCCUGCGAAAGCAGGAGGAAGGCGGGGAUGACGUCUAGUCCGCAUGGCCCUUACGGCCUGGGCUACACACGUGCUACAAUGGUUGCUACAGAGCGCUGCAACACGGCGACGUGAAGCCAAUCGCUUAAAAGCAACCUCAGUUCGGAUUGGAGUCUGCAACUCGACUCCAUGAAGCCGGAAUCACUAGUAAUCGCGAAUCAGCUACGUCGCGGUGAAUACGUUCCCGGGGCUUGUACACACCGCCCGUCAAGCCAUGGGAGUAGGUUUCACCUGAAGUCACUGGGAGCUUAAGGCAGGUGCCGAGGGUGGGGCUUAUGACUGGGGCUAAGUCGGAACAAGGUA